Molecule: transfer RNA, 76 nt
Filed under: Candidatus Endolissoclinum faulkneri L5
Lineage: Bacteria; Pseudomonadati; Pseudomonadota; Alphaproteobacteria; Rhodospirillales; Rhodospirillaceae
Description: tRNA-Ala (GGC) (tRNA-Ala-GGC-1-1)
Rfam family: tRNA
About the family: Transfer RNA (tRNA) molecules are approximately 80 nucleotides in length. Their secondary structure includes four short double-helical elements and three loops (D, anti-codon, and T loops). Further hydrogen bonds mediate the characteristic L-shaped molecular structure. tRNAs have two regions of fundamental functional importance: the anti-codon, which is responsible for specific mRNA codon recognition, and the 3' end, to which the tRNAs corresponding amino acid is attached (by aminoacyl-tRNA synthetases). tRNAs cope with the degeneracy of the genetic code in two manners: having more than one tRNA (with a specific anti-codon) for a particular amino acid; and 'wobble' base-pairing, i.e. permitting non-standard base-pairing at the 3rd anti-codon position.
Source: RNAcentral
GGGGCCAUAGCUCAGGUGGGAGAGCGCUACAAUGGCAUUGUAGAGGUCAGGAGUUCGAGCCUCCUUGGCUCCACCA